This 942-nucleotide long non-coding RNA is filed under the name Junco hyemalis (dark-eyed junco). RNAcentral describes it as "lncRNA (ENSJHYG00000017721.1)". The record is from RNAcentral. Lineage: Eukaryota; Metazoa; Chordata; Aves; Passeriformes; Passerellidae.
AUGGACUACAACGGCUCUGUAGAAAAUAACUCCCAGCUAAUAACUGCACAAAUCAUCCUGCAGAGCCAGCUGUUACCAGGACUGCAAGCAUUCCUGUUGUUUGUUUUUGGAGGAGCCCUGUGUGGUUGUGUCGAAGCCCAGACGAUGUACAAAUUCGCCAGUGGUCACUGUGAAGAACACCAUGAUAUUUUAAAGGUUUCUAUGUCAAUGCAUGAGUUUUUAAAUAAUUUGAUAAUUUUCAUAACGUGCUUGGACUUGAUUCUCUAACCUGUAUUUCAGGAAGCAGUUCAUCAGUGUGGGUGACUCCAUGGUAGCCUCACCUGAAAACUUUCCAGGUUUCCUAAAUUCCACUGUCUUGCACAUGUUUGUUAUAACUUCAUAGCAACUAUGUCCAUAUGCAGAAUGAUGAAAGGGUGAUUUAUUUUUUAUUAUCUGACUAGAAUAAUGCUGAAGAAGCAAUGAAGCUUGUGUAUUAUGAAAAGACAGAACAGGGAUAUCCGAGCAUGUACAGUGGGGGAAUAAGAAAUGAAUUUUACAGCAUCCUUCAGAAAGUUUAUCAUAAGGAAAACUUGUCUUUGAAACCUUCUCUUCCUCAGUGGGAAAAUAAUAUAUACGUGAAAAUCAUGGGUUUUCUUGGCUUCUAGUAUCACCAGAGUUUUCUUGGAAGUAAAGGAGCAGUCCUGCUUUCAUUAAUUCCAAAAAAGCUUUGCAUUCAAGCUAUUCACCUGGAGUGAAGGGCUACCUAAUUCAGUCUGCACACAUGGAUUAUGCAUCCUAUGUGAAAGUCUUUGAUCCAUGAGAAAACCAACAUUUGUUGAUCUGUUUUGCACCGUAUCUUGCAAUGAAUGCUUUUGCAUAUAUGUAUUUUAUUGUAUCUGAUGUCUAAAAAAGAAUUUACUGAAUAACACUUGAGUGAAUAAACUGAAAGUUUCUCAAGAGUCA